This is a long non-coding RNA of Ruditapes philippinarum (Manila clam), 1742 nucleotides long. RefSeq lists it as uncharacterized. The transcript is spliced from 2 exons. NCBI's taxonomy places the organism in Eukaryota, Metazoa, Mollusca, Bivalvia, Venerida, Veneridae. The record is from RefSeq and is a predicted model, not a curated record.
UUUUUUAACCAGGUUUUCAAUUUUGAAAAUCCUGGUUAUUAGAUUGGGGUAUGGCGGGCGGAUGGGCGGAUGGGCGGGCGGGCGUCAAACGAAAUUGUGUCCGCUCUGUAACUCUUCAACCCUUUGAAGAAUUUUGAUGAAACUUCAGACAAAUGUUUACCACAUCAAGAUGACGUGCAGAACGCAUGUUCCGCAUGGCUGGCUCCAAGGUCAAGGUCACAGUGACAUUAACAUUGAAAAUCCUGUUUACAUGAUUUUAACUUCGGGCGUCAAACGAAAUUGUGUCCGCUCUGUAACUCUUCAACCCUUUGAAGAAUUUUGAUGAAACUUCAGACAAAUGUUUACCACAUCAAGAUGACGUGCAGAACGCAUGUUCCGCAUGGCUGGCUCCAAGGUCAAGGUCACAGUGACAUUAACAUUGAAAAUCCUGUCCGCUCUGUAACUCUUCAACCCUUUGAAGAAUUUUGAUGAAACUUCAGACAAAUGUUUACCACAUCAAGAUGAUGUGCAGAACGCAUGUUCCGCAUGGCUGGCUCCAAGGUCAAGGUCACAGUGACAUUAACAUUGAAAAUCCUGUUUACAUGAUUUUAACUUCGGCCGUCAAACGAAAUUGUGUCCGCUCUGUAACUCUUCAACCCUUUGAAGAAUUUUGAUGAAACUUCAGACAAAUGUUUACCACAUCAAGAUGACGUGCAGAACGCAUGUUCCGCAUGGCUGGCUCCAAGGUCAAGGUCACAGUGACAUUAACAUUGAAAAUCCUGUCCGCUCUGUAACUCUUCAACCCUUUGAAGAAUUUUGAUGAAACUUCAGACAAAUGUUUACCACAUCAAGAUGACGUGCAGAACGCAUGUUCCGCAUGGCUGGCUCCAAGGUCAAGGUCACAGUGACAUUAACAUUGAAAAUCCUGUUUACAUGAUUUUAACUUCGGGCGUCAAACGAAAUUGUGUCCGCUCUGUAACUCUUCAACCCUUUGAAGAAUUUUGAUGAAACUUCAGACAAAUGUUUACCACAUCAAGAUGACGUGCAGAACGCAUGUUCCGCAUGGCUGGCUCCAAGGUCAAGGUCACAGUGACAUUAACAUUGAAAAUCCUGUCCGCUCUGUAACUCUUCAACCCUUUGAAGAAUUUUGAUGAAACUUCAGACAAAUGUUUACCACAUCAAGAUGACGUGCAGAACGCAUGUUCCGCAUGGCUGGCUCCAAGGUCAAGGUCACAGUGACAUUAACAUUGAAAAUCCUGUUUACAUGAUUUUAACUUCGGCCGUCAAACGAAAUUGUGUCCGCUCUGUAACUCUUCAACCCUUUGAAGAAUUUUGAUGAAACUUCAGACAAAUGUUUACCACAUCAAGAUGACGUGCAGAACGCAUGUUCCGCAUGGCUGGCUCCAAGGUCAAGGUCACAGUGACAUUAACAUUGAAAAUCCUGUCCGCUCUGUAACUCUUCAACCCUUUGAAGAAUUUUGAUGAAACUUCAGACAAAUGUUUACCACAUCAAGAUGACGUGCAGAACGCAUGUUCCGCAUGGCUGGCUACAAGGUCAAGGUCACAGUGACAUUAACAUUGAAAAUCCUGUUUACAUGAUUUUAACUUCGGGCGUCAAACGAAAUUGUGUCCGCUCUGUAACUCUUCAACCCUUUGAAGAAUUUUGAUGAAACUUCAGACAAAUGUUUACCACAUCAAGAUGACGUGCAGAACGCAUGUUCCGCAUGGCUGGCUCCAAGGUCAAGGUCACAGUGACAUUAACA